This 253-nucleotide ribosomal RNA is filed under the name uncultured bacterium. RNAcentral's name for it is "partial 16S ribosomal RNA". It matches the Rfam family "Bacterial small subunit ribosomal RNA", at positions 524 to 776 of the family's 1533-position model. The record is from RNAcentral.
UACGUAGGGUGCAAGCGUUAAUCGGAAUUACUGGGCGUAAAGCGUGCGCAGGCGGUUUUGCAAGACAGGUGUGAAAUCCCCGGGCUUAACCUGGGAACUGCAUUUGUGACUGCAAGGCUAGAGUGUGUCAGAGGGAGGUGGAAUUCCGCGUGUAGCAGUGAAAUGCGUAGAGAUCGUAAGGAAGACCAGUGGCGAAGGCGGGUCUCUGGACAGUUCCUGACACUGAGGCACGAAGGCCAGGGGAGCAAACGGG